Myotis brandtii (Brandt's bat) is the source of this 100-nucleotide long non-coding RNA. RefSeq lists it as uncharacterized. NCBI's taxonomy places the organism in Eukaryota, Metazoa, Chordata, Mammalia, Chiroptera, Vespertilionidae. The record is from RefSeq and is a predicted model, not a curated record. The transcript is spliced from 3 exons.
GCUCAUCUCACAGUGAUAAUCAAAUAUUGCACUUUCAGUAGUAUUUGCUGAUUCUUCUUCUUCAGCACACGUUUCAAAGGAUGAGCACACCUCUGAACUC